AAUUGCCUCCGUUAUGAAACAUCUUCACCUGUUAGCCAAAGCUAAGUUGAAUCACAGCAGAAAUUAUUAACAGUGGCUGUUUUCAAGCCAGCUUAAUUUGAGCUGAUGCCGCUGUUCCCUUAACACAGAUGAAUAGGUGUGCAGGACGAGAGCCUAAGUAGAGAUGACACCCCAAUGAAUAUUUGCUCACAGUCCUGCUGUGGGGAGCUGGCUCGCACAACAACAGACAAUUGUCAAAAGCUAAAGGGUGGGGAAUGUUGGAGCUUUGGACAGGACCUACUCUGCAAGAAUUUUCUCUGAGCUCGUCCUGGGGAAAAGACGAGCAAGGCAUUGCUUGACAGAGGAAUCAUUUCUCCGAGAUGGAUGAGGGUAUCACCUGGCCAGGUACUAGGAUCAAAGGAGUGCACUACCACCACCUGUGUUAAUUGUCAUAAUUUGAUGUUCAUGUAACUUGAUGACUCAUCACAGAAAAUUCUGGAAAUACCUAUGAACCCUUCAGUGGAAGAUAUGAGAGAGGUUUCUCCAAAGAUUUUUUCAAACUUUUGCCUGACUUCUGCUUCUGUAAUGUGAAAAUGCUUUACCAAUUUUCACCUAAUUUGAAUCUACUCUCUGUAUUAAAGAUCAAUUUUUAUAGCAAA
Non-coding RNA from Peromyscus maniculatus bairdii (prairie deer mouse), 638 nucleotides. The record is from RefSeq and is a predicted model, not a curated record. NCBI's taxonomy places the organism in Eukaryota, Metazoa, Chordata, Mammalia, Rodentia, Cricetidae.